AUAAGACAUGCAAGUCGAACGCUGAUUAGAGGGUAGCAAUAUUCUCUAGUCGGAGUGGCGCAAGGGUGCGUAACACGUGGGUAAUCUGCCGUGAAGCCUGGGAUAACUCGCUGAAAGGCGAGCUAAUACCGGAUGUGACUGUUGGGAGGCAUCUCCUGACAUUGGAAGCUGGGGACCGAAAGGCCUGGCCCUUCACUAUGAGCCCGCGGCCUAUCAGCUAGUUGGUGAGGUAACGGCUCACCAAGGCUAAGACGGGUAGCUGGUCUGAGAGGACGACCAGCCACACUGGAACUGAGACACGGUCCAGACACCUACGGGUGGCAGCAGUCGAGAAUUUUUCACAAUGGGCGCAAGCCUGAUGGAGCGACGCCGCGUGGGGGAUGAAGGGUUUCGAUCCGUAAACCCCUGUCAUUUGCGAACAAACCUUAGUUGUGAACAGCGACUAAGCUGAUUGUAGUGAAAGAGGAAGGGACGGCUAACUCUGUGCCAGCAGCCGCGGUAAUACAGAGGUCCCAAGCGUUGUUCGGAUUCACUGGGCGUAAAGGGUGCGUAGGUGGCCGGGAAAGUUCGAUGUGAAAGCUCGGAGCUCAACUCCGAAAUGGCAUUGAAUACUAUUCGGCUUGAGGGUCGGAGGGGGGACUGGAAUUCUCGGUGUAGCAGUGAAAUGCGUAGAUAUCGAGAGGAACACCAGUGGCGAAGGCGAGUCUCUGGACGACUCCUGACACUGAGGCACGAAAGCUAGGGGAGCAAACAGGAUUAGAUACCCUGGUAGUCCUAGCUGUAAACGGUGCACGUUUGCUGUAAGGGGAAUCGACCCCCUUUGUGGCGAAGCUAACGCGAUAAACGUGCCGCCUGGGGAGUACGGUCGCA
RNAcentral lists this ribosomal RNA (870 nucleotides) under uncultured bacterium. Its description in RNAcentral is "bacterial SSU rRNA". It matches the Rfam family "Bacterial small subunit ribosomal RNA", at positions 48 to 890 of the family's 1533-position model. The record is from RNAcentral.